AUAUACUGCGUCUUCUGACGCUAUCAACUAAAAAAAAAAAGUUGUUCUUAUCAGUUUAAUAUCUGAUACGUCCCCUAUCUGGGGACCAUAUAUUAAAUGGAUUUUUCGAAUAGGGAGAUGGAAAAAGAGCUUGCUCUGUCCAUUCCACGCAUUGACCUGGUAUUGCAGUACCUCCAGGACCGGUGCACCCUUU
This is a small nuclear RNA of Bufo gargarizans (Asiatic toad), 193 nucleotides long. RefSeq annotates it as U2 spliceosomal RNA. The record is from RefSeq and is a predicted model, not a curated record. Lineage: Eukaryota; Metazoa; Chordata; Amphibia; Anura; Bufonidae. The transcript has a single exon.